UACGUAGGGGGCAAGCGUUGUCCGGAAUCAUUGGGCGUAAAGAGCUCGUAGGCGGUUUGGUAAGUUGGAUGUGAAAUCUCCGGGCUCAACUUGGAGGGGUCAUUCGAUACUGCCAUGACUAGAGUUCGGUAGGGGAGUGUGGAAUUCCUGGUGGAGCUGUGAAAUGCGCAGAUAUCAGGAGGAACACCCGUAGCGAAGGCGGCACUCUGGGCCGGAACUGACGCUGAGGAGCGAAAGCGUGGGGAGCGAACAGG
This 254-nucleotide ribosomal RNA is filed under the name uncultured bacterium. RNAcentral describes it as "partial 16S ribosomal RNA". It matches the Rfam family "Bacterial small subunit ribosomal RNA", at positions 524 to 776 of the family's 1533-position model. The record is from RNAcentral.